Molecule: ribosomal RNA, 372 nt
Filed under: uncultured organism
Description: partial 16S ribosomal RNA
Rfam family: Bacterial small subunit ribosomal RNA
Source: RNAcentral
GUAGGUGGCAAGCGUUGUCCGGAAUUAUUGGGCGUAAAGCGCGCGCAGGCGGUCCUUUAAGUCUGAUGUGAAAGCCCACGGCUCAACCGUGGAGGGUCAUUGGAAACUGGGGGACUUGAGUACAGAAGAGGAAAGCGGAAUUCCAAGUGUAGCGGUGAAAUGCGUAGAGAUUUGGAGGAACACCAGUGGCGAAGGCGGCUUUCUGGUCUGUAACUGACGCUGAGGCGCGAAAGCGUGGGGAGCAAACAGGGAUUAGAUAUCCUGGUAGUCCACGCCGUAAACGAUGAGUGCUAAGUGUUAGGGGGUUUCCGCCCCCUUAGUGCUGCAGCUAACGCAUUAAGCACUCCGCCUGGGGAUACGGCCGCAAGGCUG